CAACUGGAAGACACUUUGGAGUCUAUGAGACCAAGCAUCAAGAGAAUCGAAACAUUUAACAGAGAUUUCGAUCGGCCAGAUGAAAUUAAAGGGCUACGAGAUUUGAUGAAAAAGGGUGAGGAUUUAGUUCGCAAAUGCUCAAAAAUCCAUCGAUACAACUAUGUCAAGAAGCCUUUGUAUACCAAGAAACUUAUUAAGUUCGAUGAGUCUAUUCGUAGGUAUAUUAGUGCCAUUUUGCUACUGCAUUCAACAUCAGAUGUAAAGGAGAAUUUGUAUGAGACGAAACUGCUAAGUGCCCAGAUUAGGAACUUAAGCUU
RNAcentral lists this unclassified non-coding RNA (317 nucleotides) under Hevea brasiliensis (rubber tree). Lineage: Eukaryota; Viridiplantae; Streptophyta; Magnoliopsida; Malpighiales; Euphorbiaceae. The record is from RNAcentral.